CUUUAAUAUAAAAGGCAGCAGGGAGCUGCAACUGCAACUGUGAGAGAGAAAAAGGAAAUAGAGAUAGAGGGCUCAGCUUUUUCCUAGAAAGGGCUGCAAACUAACAACUUCAGGUAGAGCAGACUAAGAGCCAGCUGUGGAUACGGCUAAAGGACCAGAGCUAAUACUAAAACUUGUGUCAUGGGCCAAAAGGCCUGUUCCAUGCAUGAAGCUGCAUCAGUCCAGGAUCAUGUGCAACAGUGGGACUGAAAGCCAUUUUGACAAAAAGUUAAAUGCAUCGGAGACCGCACAGCAUUUUUGUCUUGGUUGUCAUUGUGAAUGGAGCCUGGCAGCAGCAAGAAAUAUUGAAAUCCCUGAUGUAUUUCUGUUGUUUCUUUAAGAGGGACCAUCCCUUCCAGUAAUGAAAAAUCUUCCAAAAAUAGUGCCCUGGGAUGAAACCUCACUCAUCAUAUUUCCCAAAUUUGGCAGUUAUGACAGUUUUAUUCCAGUGUAUUAUUAAAGC
This is a long non-coding RNA of Mauremys reevesii (Reeves's turtle), 502 nucleotides long. RefSeq lists it as uncharacterized. The transcript is spliced from 3 exons. Lineage: Eukaryota; Metazoa; Chordata; Testudines; Geoemydidae. The record is from RefSeq and is a predicted model, not a curated record.